This 487-nucleotide ribosomal RNA is filed under the name uncultured bacterium. Its description in RNAcentral is "bacterial SSU rRNA". It matches the Rfam family "Bacterial small subunit ribosomal RNA", at positions 28 to 534 of the family's 1533-position model. The record is from RNAcentral.
GAUGAACGUUGGCGGCGUGCCUAAUACAUGCAAGUCGAACGGAGAUUGUAGCAAUACGGUCUCAGUGGCGAACGGGUGAGUAACGCGUUGGUGACCUGCCCCGAAGUGUGGAAUAACAGAUCGAAAGAGCUGCUAAUACCGCAUAAUAUCCAGAGGACUAGAUGCCUUUGGAUUAAAGGAUUUAUUCGCUUCGGGAGGGGCCUGCGUCCCAUCAGCUAGUUGGUAAGGUAAAGGCUUACCAAGGCUAUGACGGGUAGGGGACCUGAGAGGGUGGCCCCCCACAAUGGAACUGAAACACGGUCCAUACACCUACGGGUGGCAGCAGUAGGGAAUAUUAGUAAUGGGCGAAAGCCUGAACUAGCAACGCCGCGUGGACGAAGAAGGCCUUCGGUUGUAAAGUUCUUUAUUAUGGGAUGAGGAAGGACAGUACCAUAUGAAUAAGUCUCGGCUAACUACGUGCCAGCAGCCGCGGUAAGUCUGUAGUCGU